Molecule: ribosomal RNA, 1704 nt
Filed under: uncultured eukaryote
Lineage: Eukaryota
Description: partial small subunit ribosomal RNA
Rfam family: Eukaryotic small subunit ribosomal RNA
Source: RNAcentral
AUGUCUAAGCACAAGCCGAUAAAUUGGCAAAGCCGCGAAUUGGCUUCAUUACAACAGCCACAUUUUCACUUGGUUAUAAAAUCCUACAAGGAUAACUUGCGGAAAUACUGGAGCUAAUACUUGCACAAAAGCUCCGACCCGUGAGGGGACGAGCGCAUUUAUUAGAACAAAACCAAUCGGACUUCGGUUCGAACGUUUUGUGAAUCUGAAUAACUAAGCUGAUCGCACGGUCUUGUACCGGCGACACAUCUUUCAAGUGUCUGCCUUUAUCAACUGUUGAUGGUAGUUUAUGUGACUACCAUGGUUGUAACGGGUAACGGAGAAUAAGGGUUCGACUCCGGAGAGGGAGCCUGAGAAACGGCUACCACAUCCAAGGAAGGCAGCAGGCGCGUAAAUUACCCACUCUCGGUACGAGGAGGUAGUGACGAAAAAUAACGAGACGGUUCUCAAUGAGGCCCGUUAUCGGAAUGAGUACAAUCCAAACCCUUUAACAAGGAUAUAUCAGAGGGCAAGUCUGGUGCCAGCAGCCGCGGUAAUUCCAGAUCUGAAGGUGUAUACCACCGUUGUUGCGGUUAAAACGCUCGUAGUUGGAUCUACGUUCGUGGACUCGGUGCUCCCAAGUGGUGUCAACUGAGAUCCCGGGCUAAUCUGCCGGUUUUCGUGCGGUGCUCUUUACCGGGUGUCGCGGGUGGCUAGCGAGUUUACUUUGAAAAAAUUAGAGUGCUCAAAACAGGCGUUUCGCCUGAAUACUGGUGCAUGGAAUAAUAGAACAGGACCUCGGUCCGUUUUGUUGGUUUCGAACUUGAGGUAAUGAUUAAGAGGGACAGACGGGGGCAUUCGUAUCGCUGCGUGAGAGGUGAAAUUCUUGGACCGUAGCGAGACGCCCUACUGCGAAAGCAUUUGCCAAGAAUGUUUUCAUUAAUCAAGAACGAAAGUCAGAGGUUCGAAGACGAUCAGAUACCGUCGUAGUUCUGACCAUAAACGAUGCCAGCUAGGGAUUCGCCGGAGUUGUUUCAAUGACUCGGCGAGCACCUUGGGAAACCAAAGCUUUUGGGUUCCGGGGGAAGUAUGGUUGCAAAGCUGAAACUUAAAGGAAUUGACGGAAGGGCACCACCAGGAGUGGAGCCUGCGGCUUAAUUUGACGCAACACGGGGAAACUCACCCGGCCCGGACACUGUAAGGAUUGACAGAUUGAUAGCUCUUUCUUGAUUCGGUGGUUGGUGGUGCAUGGCCGUUCUUAGUUGGUGGAGCGAUUUGUCUGGUUUAUUCCGAUAACGAACGAGACUCCGGCCUACUAAAUAGUGGCGAGAUACGUCCCGUCUCGCAAACUUCUUAGAGGGAUAAUUGGUGUUCAGCCAAAUGAAAUGGAGCAAUAACAGGUCUGUGAUGCCCUUAGAUGUCCGGGGCUGCACGCGCGCUACACUGGAGGAAUCAGCGUGCCAACACCAUUGCUGAAAGGCAUUGGUAAACCCUUGAAAAUCCUCCGUGAUCGGGAUUGGGAAUUGCAAUUAUUUCCCUUGAACGAGGAAUUCCCAGUAAGUGUGGGUCAUCAGCUCGCGUUGAUUACGUCCCUGCCCUUUGUACACACCGCCCGUCGCUGCCCGGGACUGAGCCGUUUCGAGAAAAGCGGGGACUGUGGCUGGCCGGCGUUUCGGCGUCGGCUUUUCGUGGAAACCGCCUUGAUCGCAGUGGCUUGAACCGGGC